UGAGUAACCUGCCCAGUCUUUGGGAUAACCCUCGGAAACGGGGGCUAAUACCGGAUAUGACACAUGGCUGCAUGGUUGUGUGUGGAAAGUUUUUCGGUCUGGGAUGGGCUCGCGGCCUAUCAGCUUGUUGGUGGGGUGAUGGCCUACCAAGGCGACGACGGGUAGCCGGCCUGAGAGGGCGACCGGCCACACUGGGACUGAGACACGGCCCAGACUCCUACGGGAGCAG
This 229-nucleotide ribosomal RNA is filed under the name uncultured bacterium. RNAcentral describes it as "partial 16S ribosomal RNA". It matches the Rfam family "Bacterial small subunit ribosomal RNA", at positions 118 to 347 of the family's 1533-position model. The record is from RNAcentral.